Molecule: long non-coding RNA, 3994 nt
Organism: Astatotilapia calliptera (eastern happy)
Lineage: Eukaryota; Metazoa; Chordata; Actinopteri; Cichliformes; Cichlidae
Source: Ensembl
GUCCUGCCUUUGGCGAUGUAUGCAUUUAAUGGAUUACAUAGAAAAAAACAGCAUUCUUUGAAAAAUAUCUGGACAUGAAUACCAAAGAUAUCCAUAUAUGUUUAUAUUUCUAUAAGAUAUUUCUAUUUACAUGUUUGAACUAACACAACAACUAAAUCAAUCAAUGAAAAAAUAAUGCUGCAUUUUAUUUAUCCUCAAAAAAACACAUUUGCACAGAAAUGUGCACAUUAAUUUGUGUUACACAUAAAAAGAAAUAAUACCCUUUUCCUAAUUAAAUAUAGCAGGCUCAAAACAUUUCUACAAAAAAUCUUCAUAAGGUAAUGUUAAACUAUUUAAACUAUGUUAAACUAGUCCUGGGACAUACUUAUUUUGAUAUGACAGAAAAAUGAUAAGAGACCUCUUAAUCAACAACAUAAUUAAAUUAAUGUGAUAGAAUACUUUUCAGCGAGUUUUGUCAAUGAUAAAUCUUUCAAAUGACUUAGGUUUAAUUAAUCCUGAUGUUAUAUAGAGAGAUCCGUAAAGAGGUCCCCAUUUAUAUAACUUGUUGCAGAAAUAAUGAAAUAUGAAAAAAUAUGUACAAAAUCAAAACUUUGAGAUGAAGACAAAUCAAAUACACAAUACUCAGUGAAGAAAAUUGGAAGGAAAUGUUCCUUCAACACUUCAGAGGUAAAAUUUUGAGGUAUGAGUGUUCAUAUAGCCACUGAUAUUGUUUGCACUGUGAUAUGUAAACAACCUUGUCUAACACAAUCAUACAUGCUGUAUAAGGGUUCAGUACUACAACAAUUAAGAGGUCAAAAUACAAAAAAAAAAGUAAUACUAAAUAAAAUAUGUACAACAGAAGUUUGCGAGAUGAUGUUAACACAAUAAAUUGGCACUUUUUUUACAAUGUGUCUUUGGUGACAUAUGAAGCUGCCUGGAAGUAAGCAGCAAACACUUGGUUAAGUUUCAUCAACCAUUACAUAUUUCCAGCUAUUUUAGGAUUCCACUACUACCGGCCUUUUAAUCGACCUCACAUUCCCAAAAAUAUCCUUUUGAUCUGAGAAAGUCAUGAAAAACACAUUUCACUCUUUAAAUUAUCCAGUACAGUUUUUACAGAAAUGUUUAACGCAUGGUAGAAUUUACAGUGUCCAUGUAAUCCUGUAAAAAAACUGAAUAUAUGUUGCAGUGAUUGUUACACUGAUAACCUUUCCCCCCAAGAGGCCAAAUAAACUUAAGAAGCAUUAGUAUUUAGAGGUAUUUCCAAACACUAAAAUUCUCUAGAAUUGUUUUAAUGCUGUUAAAAACUGCUUUAAAACAACAUUAACAUAAAAUAGAACAUUUGCAUUGGUGGAGAUCUAUAUAUGAGCCUUCUCUUAGAUUUAGAUUAAGAAACUGCAGCCAUCUCAAUACAAUACAUACAGGAUAUUAUACAAAACAUAUGAUUCACAAAGUUCAAAAUCGAGAAUUAACAGAUUACAAUAAAGAGCAAAACAUGCAGUAUAUAAAUUUCCUAUUUAUAGUUUCAGGUGGGGCUACAACGAUGACAUAAUCGAUAACAUCGACUUUAAAAAUUCGUCGACGGUCAUACUCUAGAACCACGUAAAUAUGUUUUUGCAACUGCAAUACACUAUAGGAAGCUAUGGGGGCAGUGUCGCCUAUAUGGGCUGCCAAUACGGCAUUUAGUACUAACGAAGAAGAACGUAGCGCGAAAAGUAAAACAGCUGGCGUGGGGAAGAGGGGAGAAAAUGCAAAAAAAUGUGAAAGUUAAUUGCAGACUGUGCAAAACCUUUCACGACAGCACUACUGCAGCACAAGAGCAUGUCCGUCAGCACCCUGGUGCGGUGACGUUAACUCUGAACGGGUCAGUUUUAGAGAGUUACGUUAGUGCGUCGCGUUGAUACCUCGUUUAUGUUUAUGUUAAUGUUUGUGUUAGCUUGCCUGUCGGAAAUUUCUCAUGGAAGAUGCUUGCUAAGCAAACACCAUUUCAGUUGUGUUAGCUAAUGAGUGAAAUACGAUGGUAAAAACAUUAAACAGGAGUAGCAACACUCUCCCUUUUUUCUUUAACAUUAAUAUUAGCGUUUAUUUCGAAUAGUAAACCUCUUCUAGAUGUUAUUUUGGACUGGAAAAUAAAAUCUUUUUGAUUUAAUUUGAAGCUUUAUUUGAACUUACGGAGAGACGUUUUUAGUUUGCGCAUUGUUUUUUUGUUUGUUUGUUUGUUUGUUUAAAUACUACUAGCACUUUAAUUUGUAUUGCUUUAUUUUUAUUUACUUCAUUUUUAUUCUGUCCUACUGAGUAAUGUUAAAAAUAAAUUGGAUUAUUAUCAUAUUCAUAUGUUUUCUGUGUCAUUACUUUCAUUUUCUUUGGGUAGAGGCAACAGGGUGGGCAGACUUGAAGUGAAGUUGAGAGUUAUUGAAAUAAUUGCUGACUAAUCAAAAAAAAUAAAAUUUGCAGAUUCGUCAACUACUAAAAUGUAGGUCUGCAACAAUUUUGGUGUAGCUCAUGUUUCAAGGUCUAAUCACAUCUGAUAGUGAGAACAUAUAGCUGAUACUGUUUUGACAGAAGUGUAUCACAACAUCAUUUGAUUCAUAAACUUGUAUGUGGUGAUUAUGCAGAGGUAUAUUUUUGUGGAUAUACACUUUUUUCCAAUACACAGCUUUUCCUCUAUAAUGUAAUUGGUAUUACUGAUCAGACGAUACACUACUUUAUCUAUUGAUUAUCAGUUAACUGUAAUGAUUUCUCCUGGUUGACAGUGUAAUUGUUUUGCUGUUGAUGGCUGGUUCCUAAAACACAUUUCUAAAUAUAAUCCCUAAAAGCUGAAAUACUUUACUAAUUUGGGUCAUAAUCAUAUACUAUACUGAUUACAUGCUAUCAAGUCCUCUUUUGAAGAAUCUGGUGCUAAUUUUCCAAAUUGUUCUUCUAAUUUCAAAAAAUUGAUCAAAUGCCACUACUUGAUAAUGUAACUUAUUUUCAAUGUGGAAAGAUUCAUCUUGGUGAAGAUGCCUCUUUGUCUGUCUUGCCUUCAUAGUUACCCUACAUGAUGCUGUCUCCUUGCACCACAGGGUAGCAAGUGAAGAACUAUUUUUAAAUCAUCUUUCAAGAUCUACAAAGUAAUGUGUGUUGGAAAAUAGAAUUAUUGUGUUCCCAGUGUACCUUUUAACAAAAUGCCUCUAAACAGCUUUUACACUAAUCAUGCUAGAGUAAAAAUAAGACUGCAACCUCAUUGCAACUAGAAAGGAAUGGUAAUUACCUGGUGAUCACACAGAUUUUUUUUUUACUGUUGAAAACCAAUUGCAAGUACUUGUGGUAACUAAGUGGCUGCUCAGAGGUUCAGCACUCAACCUCUCGGUGCUUGCAGUUUGCCUGGUGGGAGGAAAUCUGUCACCAAACAACCAUUGUCGGACUCUAACUGCUAUUACUCUCACGGAUUGCAGAAGGUUUGCAAAUAAUUGUUAUCUGAUUUACAAAUGCAGACACACUGACAACAUAUCAUAAUCAGUUUGAGUCAGUCUGCACUGAUGAGACACAAAUCAGUUUCUUUGCAAAAGAGGACUAAACCCAACUGGUUCUAGUCUUGUUAUGUUCCUAUAUAACAGCAAGGUUGACAAGCACCUAUGUCAUUUCGCAAUUAAAUUGCAGCAGCUACAUCACAAUUUCUGUUUCAAAUCUACGAGCUUCUGGCUUGACUCUGAAUGUAAGUAGUUUGUGUAAAAAUCUGUUUAAUGUAGACAGCAACAGAUUUAUCACAGUUAAUUACCAUAUUCUCGCAGACAAAUUGCAUGUAAUUGCCAGCUUGACCUCCUCCAACCUGAUAGCAAACUGACUCCAUCUUAUUGCCAUUUACGGCUAUUGGCUGCAAGUGGUUGCAGACCUGGUGCCUGUCUCUGAAGCAACAAAUUCAAACUUGAACUUAUUCACGCGUUCGUUGUACACAGUUGCAGUAAUCUUGGUCAUUCUGCAUUCUGCAGUCAUUGUUUCCCCGUGUGUGAUUGUAGCACAAAGACAAAUUCGUGUUACG